AAAGCUGUUGCGCUGUAAGCGAGGCAAGUUCUGUCGACGCGCAUGCGCAGAACCAGAAGCACCUUUGUGAAAGAACUGAGGGAAUGUUAGUUCGCUUGUUUUGCACUAAAGAGUAGCCAUCCAGUCCAGGUGAAAAAACAAAGAGGAAGGAAAGAAGGAAAUCUAGGACACUUCUUCAGCUGUUGAUGUUAUAAAAAUUGGAGGACUAAGCAAGAAGCAAAAAAGUUCAAAAAUAUCUGACUGGAUAUCAGCAUUUGAAGCAUGUGUUAUUCCUUCUCCACUUUUUGUGUGCAGUCUAAACAGCUUCAUGAAGACAGUAGAGAGGAUGAGUCUAAAGAGACAAAGAACAACAGUUUCUAAAGGAACGUUCUGCACAAGUCAUCAUCUGGCAAGCAAGAUGUGUGUGCUCCAUAUCCAGUUGGGAGAAGCAGUAACAGAGUUCUUCUCCACACUUUGAAGCUACAAUUUGAAGCCAUGUAACUAAGGCAAACAAUAUCUCUUGGCUUGACAACACUACUGGACAAAAAACAUGUGGUUUGUCAUCUACUGUCAUGCCACUAUGGAAGUUCAGAGAGAGCCUGCUGGGGCAUAAACAAAUGCAAUACUUGUAACCACCAAGUCCUAUUAGUUAAGUGUACCCACUAGGCCAGCACAAUACGUAACCUGCUCUGCAAUAAUGAUGUGUUGCCCUGGGUUAAGUGCACAUGUGUGGGAAGUAAACACCAUGUAAUGAUUAGCUGGUGGCCUUCAUGAAAGUUAUUCUAGACUGGCAGAGGGACACUAAUGGGCAUCUAAAUAUAACAGUGUGCUAUCGAGGUUAGCUACAGGUAGGUUGCUGGCAUGAUAUAGUUGAUUUUCAGGCCAGUUUUGGUCUAACCCCCACCCCCACCCCCACAUGAAACAUGUAACACUUCUCUUUGACAUUUGAUUAUCAACACAACUGCCUCAUGCUGGGCUGGCUCAAGAUGCCUUGCUGCCUGAAGUCAAACUGUAAACAGCACCCUCCAAGUGAAUUUGCUUAGAACACAGAGUGAGCCAACUAAUAUUAGGACAUGAGACAGAGAAAAACCCUAGAGGCACCUCUCUCACAGCCUAGUAUUGAAAAUGUAAUAACAACAAAGUAAGAAACGGUUACUAUUCUUUCAAGACACCCAGAUCUGCUUUCUGUGGCAGCCACCUUAUUCUACCCAGCCCUGUGUUUACCCUCUGUGUACUGACAUUUAGCAGUCCUUUUCCUGCUGCUGAUCUCUCCUUGAAAUCUGUUAUUAUAAAAGGCAUUAUCAGCAUUCAAGCUUCCCCAGAUUUCUCUCUGCAUUUGAGUUUCCCCUUAAAAGGGGGGGGGGGAAACAAAAAUGUUACUCACUCUCAAUGCAGAGAACUAAAAUGUGAUCUUGGCAUGCAUCCUGUAUUAAAGCGGCAGGUUUUCUCUGCAGUUCAUCAUCAUUUCAACCCUAUUGACAUGUUUUACCCCAUUAUCAGCCUUUUAGCCAAAUUCUCUAGAAAAAUAAAUGCCGGAAACUAUGGAUACAAGAUUGGUAUUUAUUCUAGAGAGAGAAGGUUGGUUUUUUUUCUUCAUUGAAAUAAAGUUGCCUGGAACCUACGUACUGGAUGGAAACAAAUAUCCAAGAUCCUUUACUGCUAAUUGUGGUCACUCCACCCACUCACUUAAAGCAAGAUGUGUAGCACCAGAUAAGUUGACCUGGCAUGUGAAGAAGGAGAUCCCUCAAGUGCUCCCCCCACAUCCCCCACAGUCACAAUAAAUUAAAUUGCUAACCAUCUCCUAUUUCCAUAAAACCCUAAAACUACUGCCUGUUCCUGCUACCUCAUGCUGUGGUAGAGGCAGACUUGGGCACUGCAGCUCAAGUGAACAGCUCCAGCUAGGGGUGGCAAGAUAGCCAAGGAGUGCACACAAGUGAGAGACAACAGCACCGUCACUGGGACUGCUGAAAAAGCACCACUUUUCUCAGCCAUUAGCUCCCUUGGUACAGCAAGAUGCAAGCAGCGAAAAGAUCCCAGUCUAAAUAACAUACAAGAGCUGGCAGUUACCACAGCAGGGGACAACAGCAGAAUUGCUGCAGUGCAGCUGUUUUCUCAUUAAAGCCAGAAAGUCAUAUGUACUUGGGGACUGACAGCAGCAUCAACAAAGAGGCCAAGAAUAAAUAUUUCUUAGUCCUCCCUAUAGAGGGUGAAAUUGUGAGGAGGGGUAUGAUUCUUUUGCCCAGCUGGUAACAUAAUGGCUGGGGAUUACAGAAGACUUUUAAAUGGUCUGUCUGAACAGAGCAUUGAGUCAUUGUUUGUGUGUGCUGCAAGAGAAAUGCCUGUGCUUCCAUGUAAGAAUAUUGGGGGGGAGGGGCAUUGACCAACAACUGAGGCACAACAUUGUAAAAGUAGCUAUUCCUGUGGGAGUUCAAUUUUACAUCCAUCACAUACACACACAUGUGCAUCCCAUCAAAGAGCAGGUAGUCAGAGUAUUCCAAAAUGCAGCGAAGACUCUGGUCAGUAUCUUGAGUCACAGAAGCAGCUAUGGGAAUUGGGUGAGUUGCCAGUCUUAUCAAAGAGCUGUGGCCACUUCAUAACAUCCAUUCCACA
This is a non-coding RNA of Pogona vitticeps (central bearded dragon), 2589 nucleotides long. Lineage: Eukaryota; Metazoa; Chordata; Lepidosauria; Squamata; Agamidae. The record is from RefSeq and is a predicted model, not a curated record.